UUUAUUUAUACACAAAUUUCACAACAUACAAAUAUAAUAUGUUAAUGAAUUAAUAUUGUUUCACAUACCAGAUGGGAAUAUUUAGUUCAUACAAUUCGAAUUCGAAACUAUGAAAUCAGUGAAUCCUUUUGUAUACGAAUUAAUAUUGCAACUGUCAAAUAUUCAAUUUUAAUUAAAAAUAUGAUUAAAAAUGUGUUUUUCUGAUUUGAUAAUUUUAUUAAAAUAAAAAUAAUCUUUAUUAGAACGAACGAAGUUAAUUACCUAGUAGUUUUCUUAAUUAUUAUUAUUAAUUAUAUAUUAUAAUUAUAUAUUAUAUAAUAUAUUAUAAUUAUAUAUUAUAUAAUAUAUUAUAAUUAAUAUUAAUUAUUAAUUAAUUAUUAGUUUGUUAGAUAAACAGCGUAGAAAAGCAAAUGGUAUAUUUAUAUUUAUUUUAAUGUGUGUGAGUAUAGAAAUACCAAAAUAGGUCAAAUUUAAAUUAUGAUCACAAGCCUCUUUAAAAAACAAGUAAACCACAAAGGGGAAAGUGGGAUUGUGAUUAAUCAUUUAUUAGGUUGUCUCUUCUUUCUAUAAUGAAAAUGUUAUAGUUGAUUGCAAAAAUUAGCAACAAAAAAAAUCAUGUGCUAUUGAAAUUAAUUAGAAUACACUCAAAGUAAGUUCUCUAAUGUUAAAAACAAACUGAACUUUUAUGAAUAGAGAAGGAAGGGACCUUUAAAUCAAUGUCAAUUUAUACUUUAAAUUUGAUGAGUGGAUUUUUUCAUAAAUAUGUAGGUAUCUGAAAAAUAAUGAAUUUGUGAAACUUAACCUUCCAACACUGCGUAAGUUGAUUACUUGUAUAUCAGCUUAAGUAUUAUUAUAAUCAAUUCAGAAAACCACAUCAUCUACUUUUUUCUCGUACAAAUGAUUUUUAAUUGUUGGAGAAAUACAAAAAGCAAAUAUAUAUUUGAAGAAAUAUGACACAGUAAAGAAUAUCCAUACCUUUUGACAUUUCAUUUUCUUUAUUUUUUUACAAAAUCAAUAACCAAAACCACCAUAAAACUAUAGAAUAAGGGUAGAAAACUAUACAGUAUGGUCCCCAAAUGAAAAUCAAUCCUAAAUCGCGGCAUUUCAUUUCUAUAUAAAUGCUACUACAGAGAAAACAAGAGGCAUCAUAAGUAAAUACAUGAAGAUUUGUCGAAGAUUCAAACUGUUUAUUUAUGUAUGUAUUAACAUUUUGAUAAGUAAAGACCGAUUCAUAGAUUUGACUUUCCGUUCGCGGGUGACGUCUGCGGAAAAUAACAAAGUGACAGCGCAAACGGAUGUGAUGGGCUCUUUUAUGUUGAAAGUCAACAACGGCAGACCAAUCGGCAAACGGCGACAUCAAACGGCAACCAUGAAUGGUCGUAUGCGAAGUUUUUAAUUUUGUAACAGCAAAUGGAAAGUCUAGUUAAUGAAUCGGCCAUAACUGAAUAUAGUUUAAGAAGAAAUAUUACUAUUAAUUAUCCAUUGCCAAAUAUUAGUUAUAGUAGUAGACAAAGCAACAUAUUCAAUCAAAUUUAAAUAUGAUCUAUAUCCAAUUUCAAUGAAGAUGGAAAUUAAUUUGACUGUGUAUAUACAGGGUGUUUCAAAACUUUCGCAUGCCAGUUAUAUCACUGCAUUAAACGAAUAAAAUCGAUUAAAAAUCACCAAUCACAUGUCUAUAACGCAUAUAUUAAUCGCAAAUUAACAAUAACGCCAAUCAAAGCUUGUGGAACGUUUAAGUUCCUCCCUAUCGAGCGGUCGAGAGCCAUAAAAGUAUUUAGCUGCUGCCGUAUUUUUGAACUUUGCGUUAUAGACAUGUGAUUGUUUGGUGAUUUUUAAUCGAUCUUUUUCGACUUAAUCGAUAUAACUCGCAUGCGAAGGUUUUGAAACACACGAUAUAUUGUGUUACAUAAAUUGAACUAAAUUUACAAAAACAACGUAACCUGGCUUCGUACCAAUAGGGUAGCAGUCCUCAAAUUGAUUAACAGUCAUGAUUGACUUAUUCUGACACUUCCAACCAUUGUCAUAUUUUGACAAAUUAUGUACCUAAAUGUUUCUGGUGUAUUUCUUUAUUCACAGGUGUAAUACAAUCAGCAAUUUUUGAGUUCACAGUUUUGACAGAAUGACGCGGCAAAGGACUUUGUUCUAUAAUAAAUACUGAUAUGAAGAUCUGAGAGAAAUUUAUCCUCAUGAAAUAUAUUACAUUUGUUUAGGUUAUGUAGAAGAUAUUUUGACUAGGAAUAAAAUAAUUCUCUGCAAAUUCAGAUUUAAAAAAUUAUUGAUACUAAGUAUUGGUUCAAAUCAUUUUAUGUUGUAGGACCAAUAAGAAAAGGAUUCUAGAAUAACAGGAAUGGGCACAAACAAAAGGAUUUGAAACAAGUUAUUGUAUAUACAUUUGCUCUAGUAAAAUGCCACAUUUCAAUGAAUAAAAUUUUUUGUCAAGAGAAUUUCAAAAUGAGGAGUAAAACACUAUUGUAAGUGCCAAAUGUUGUUAGAAUUUCUACUAAAUUCAUUUAGCUUACCCUAUUCCACUUUUUUUAUUUGUACCAAAGUUAUGUUGUAUUGGAAACUGUACCUGGGAAGGGUUUUUUUAUUAUUUAAAAAGUGUUUACCUAAUUCACAUUUUUUUAAGUAAAAAUAAACUUAUAAAUAAUAAAAAACAAAUCAUAUAUUUACUUUGUACUACUUCAAUUACUACAAAUUCAACCAAAUCUUUUUACAUACAAUUUAUUUUACUUCAGUUUUGAACACAUACAUUCCACAAAAAAGUUCUCUAUCAUUUUCUUUGUUCUACCUUUUAAUAUCUCAUUCAAUCAAAUUUUCAGUACCAUAAGUACAUAAAGCAUGCAACAGAUUUCUUUGAUAUCCUGUAACAAAUAAAUUUGAAAUUUUGGAGAGUAUAUUAAUAGUAAAUUUUGAUGUACCAAAAUAUAAUUCUCAAAACUCUUAACAAUAUAGACUAUUAAAAUAUUUUUUAAAAAUAAACAAUUGUUUAUCUGAAACCAGCAGAUGAUUAAAUAGAAAUGUAUCUAUAGAAUGAGGGCUACUGCAUUUAAGGCUCUGAUGCAGAGUGAGGUCUCCAAGAAUCAAUAUCAUUGUUUGUUCAGGGAACUUUAAUACGUAUUGUCAAGAUUCAAAUGCUUCAUUCAUAUUUGUGAAUGUUUUGAAAGGUCAUAGUUGUCACUUUGAAAAGAUAUCAACGUCUGCUUGAAAUUUUUUUAAUUAAAUGAAAUGUUUUUUUUGUAAUGACUAAUUUUGACAGUUAUACUUCAAUACCUCAUUAGAUGCAUAGAAACAGUAGCCCUUAUUAUAUUGUAAGUGAAACACCAUUAAUUUUUUAAACGAGGCGCCCCUACUGGAUCUGAAACCAGCACAGAUCACUCUAAAUUAUUUUGAAUUGGCAACAGGUCUGUUGUAUCUAUUUUAUAUGGAACAGCUAGGGAAACUUGGAAAUUAAAGAGAACAAAUGCAAGUUCCUUACAAAUAAUUAUAUUAUUAGAUACAGUAGUGGAUACACAAUGAAUUAAUUGUAAUAAAAAUAAUGUUCAUUCCUUUCUAUAUAGUUUGAUGCACAAAAAUUGGAAUAUUUACAUAGAUACAACUUACCCUUUACAAAAUAUUUUUUCGAUAAACACAUCAAUUGAAGUAAUAUAUCUGAUUGAAUCGAUACAUCGUAAACUAAUUUCAAUUGAUAUUAUAUCAAAUAUCCUUACGCUGGGGCGGAUUUACACGAAUCUGACAUUUAUUCAAAAUUUUUCGUUUUCACUACUCUAAUUCCUAAUAUCUGAUGAAAAUUGCAAAUUAUGGAAGUAAUAUUAUUUUAUUUAAAGAUGAUUAAACUAUAAUAAUUGACAGCCAUUCGGUUCAAAUCCGUCCCUGUUGUUUGUUCUGAUAAUUGAAUUUUCUGUACACAGGUAUUUUUUUAAGAUAAAACUUGAUAAAUAAAUGGAAUUCGAAAGAUAAUCAUAAGUAAAUAAGGUUGAUUUUUUACCAAAUAUCUGGAGGUGCUGGAAAGUUGGCCACUGCUUUAAUUCAAUUCUGAAUUUCAAGUCUGAAACUAUACAUGACAAAAAUAUGGGAUGUUCCAUUUAUGUAUUCUGGUGAAGUUUUAUCUCUCGAAUUCCAAGCUCAUUUAAAUAUUGAGGGUUUGAGAAUUAUAAACUAUGAUGCUUUAUUUUAGUCAGCACGUUUCUGGCACCACAAAGGUUUUCCCAGUAUUUUCCUCUUCACCGAAUACCUCAUGUUGCGGCUUUUCUGGAACAUUGGGUCCUCUCAAUUCCAGUGUAACCAAAUUUUUAUAUCCAUCCAAUGCCAAGACCACAAAUCGACCAUGUGAAGUAAUUUCGCAUGCUGAUAUUUUCAUUUUUGGUGUAUAGACUGCUACCAAUUCACCUACAAUUUCCAGAUUUUUCAAGUAAUGGAUUUAGUUCAAUGACUAUAGUUUGAUUCUUACCUUUAUUAAGAUCCCAUAUUCUGAUUGAUCUAUCCCUGCAUUCUAAAUCUCUAGAAAGACAGUAGCCACCUGUCGGAUCUAGUUUCAAUGACGAUACUGGUGCUGUAUGUCCACUUAAUGACCAACGACAGUUACCUGUAAAUAUAACGUUAGAUUAGCAGAAUAGAAUUAUUAUAAAAUGAGUUGAUGUAACGAACACCACAUGUCUUAAACCAAAGUGAAAGUGAAAAUAGAAGAUUUCUGGUGUUUUCUUCUCCUCGGCUCCAUGUUACUUACCAGUUAUGAGGUCCCACACAAGUAUUCUUGCGUCCUCAAGACCAGAUAUGACACAGCCACCUUGUGAGCUUAUUUCUAAGGAAACCGUAUUACAGGAUGGCUUCCAUUUCUUGAAUAAUGUACCACUUUGCAAAUCAUAGACAACAAUAAAAUUGGGAUUUGGUUCGGCUAUCUCAUAACAAACACAACAAACGUAGUUACCUACGAAUUAAUCAAUAUGUUUAAAUGUUUGGUACAGGGAAUAAAGUUUUGAAUAUAAGGAAUCGAGAAUAAAUGGAAGGGCUGAGUAUAUUAAA
This is a long non-coding RNA of Diorhabda sublineata, 5022 nucleotides long. RefSeq lists it as uncharacterized. The record is from RefSeq and is a predicted model, not a curated record. The transcript is spliced from 3 exons. NCBI's taxonomy places the organism in Eukaryota, Metazoa, Arthropoda, Insecta, Coleoptera, Chrysomelidae.